Molecule: ribosomal RNA, 405 nt
Filed under: uncultured bacterium
Lineage: Bacteria
Description: partial 16S ribosomal RNA
Rfam family: Bacterial small subunit ribosomal RNA
Source: RNAcentral
GAUGAACGCUGGCGGCGUGCCUAAUACAUGCAAGUCGAGCGAAGCGGGGACGGAUGAGUAACACGUGGAUAACCUCCUAUAAGACUGGGAUAACUUCGGGAAACCGGAGCUAAACCGGAUCCUUAUAGAUGGACCCGCGCUGCAUUAGCUAGAGGGUAAGGUAACGGCUGACCAAGGCAACGAUGCAUAGCCGACCUGAGAGGGUGAUCGGCCACACUGGAACUUAGACACGGUCCAGACUCCCACGUGAGGCAGCAGGAGAGACUCUUCCGCAAUGGGCGAAAUCCUGACGGAGCACCGCCGCGUGAGUGAUGAAGGUCUUCGGAGCGUAAAACUCUGUUAUUAGGGAAGCGUUACCUAAUCAGAACGCCACGGCUAACUACGUGCCAGCAGACGCGGUAAUUC